Molecule: long non-coding RNA, 395 nt
Filed under: Rattus norvegicus (Norway rat)
Lineage: Eukaryota; Metazoa; Chordata; Mammalia; Rodentia; Muridae
Description: long non-coding RNA NONRATT013616
Source: RNAcentral
CCUUCUUUUGAAGGGAAGGGAAAAUUGGAAGAGUUCUCUAGAAAGUCCGAGCAACAAGCCAAGUUUAAGUCCAGCCUUGACACCCCUGCUUCAGUGUUUAGGCGAAGGCUUCGGCGGCCUGGGGUACUGGAAGAUUCCAGAAAAAUGGCAGCAGGCAGACAUACGGCAAAUCUCUGCUUGUCUCCUCCGGUCUGUCUUAGCAACAGGGCGUGUGAGGCCCAGAGAAUGAGGAAGGAGGAGGCUUCUCUCUCUCUUUCUCUCUCUCUGGGUCCAGCCAGAUGCAGAAGAGGAAGUUGUGGAAAAGACACGUGGCCCCGGGGACGUUACAAGAGUGGCCUUUACUUUAACCAAAAUGCUUGAAUAAGAUAUGAUUUAACAGGGCAAAGAAAAAAAAA